CUGCAGAAAGAGCUCUGUCACAUAUCGGCUGCUAGUCAGAAUGAUGGGAAAGAUAACGACUGUGAUGGUCUAAUAGAUGAGGACGGUUACUAUGGUGAUAAAUAUGGUGUUUACAAACAAGAUCAUGAUCUAGAUGGUGCCUUUGGUGAAGAUUAUGGAGGUGACCUAGUCUCUAACCGGGCUGUCGUACAGACACUGAAGGAACCGGAGUGUAUUGAAAUAAAAAAGGUCGAAGGCCAGUGUUGGAAGGCUUGCAGAUGUUCGUG
Molecule: long non-coding RNA, 266 nt
Organism: Mercenaria mercenaria
Lineage: Eukaryota; Metazoa; Mollusca; Bivalvia; Venerida; Veneridae
Exons: 3
Source: RefSeq, a predicted model, not a curated record